CUUGACAAGUAGAAGCCAUCCGCUUCUCACCUUACAACGCAUUAGCAGUUCGUAAGGUUCUGUAAACCCUUGUUUACGCUUUAUUGCGGGUGGUUUAUGCCAUCCGUUUUUUGUUUGGCAG
This is a regulatory RNA element of Thermosinus carboxydivorans Nor1, 121 nucleotides long. It matches the Rfam family "Ribosomal protein L20 leader". Rfam says of the family: This family is a putative r-protein leader autoregulatory structure found in B. subtilis and other low-GC Gram-positive bacteria. The record is from Rfam. Lineage: Bacteria; Bacillati; Bacillota; Negativicutes; Selenomonadales; Sporomusaceae.